This 477-nucleotide small RNA is filed under the name Histoplasma ohiense. RNAcentral describes it as "hypothetical lncRNA". Lineage: Eukaryota; Fungi; Ascomycota; Eurotiomycetes; Onygenales; Ajellomycetaceae. The record is from RNAcentral.
CACCAGAAUCUCAGGAGGCGUUCCUCGCGGAAUCCUCCCUUUUUUGGAGGAAAAUCUCACUUCGAGAUCCGCGGCUGCGACUAUUUCCCAUGUGGCUUUGUGGGGAAAGCGGAAAGCAGGAGCUUACUGCUGAAGUAACCGUGCAAUCAGAGCCAUUGGACCAACAGCCACUGGGAGAGCUCUCGGUCCUUGCCCCUGUCAGAUUGCUAAGUGAUUGAUUCAUUGUUACUGUUUGAAACUUCGGACGAUAACAAACCUGUUUGACGCAACCUUCGUGAGAAUAAUAAAAUACCAGUGGCUGACACUCCAUCAGCAAAAAGGAGAAAGAAACAGAAAACACAUAAAAAUGUAAUAACUUUCCAAUGGCCAUCCCCAGAAAAAAAAAAAAAAAAGAAGAAGGCUAAAAAGUCCGGGGAAUGGGUAUUUUUUUUAUUUAUGAAAUAAUAUUUUUUUUAACAGAAAAAAAGAAAAGAAAGG